UGGGGAAUAUUGCACAAUGGACGGAAGUCUGAUGCAGCGACGCCGCGUGGGGGAUGAAGGCUCUCGGGUUGUAAACUCCUUUUGCUGCUGAAUAAGGCUCUUUUUAGGGCCGAGGGUAGGUCUUGAAUAAGCGCCGGCUAACUACGUGCCAGCAGCCGCGGUAAUACGAAGGUCGCGAGCGUUGUCCGGAAUUAUUGGGCGUAAAGGGCGCGUAGGCGGCAUGUCGCGUCUGCUGUGAAAGACCGGGGCUUAACUCCGGGGUUGCAGUGGGUACGGGCAGACUAGAGUGCGGUAGGGGUAGCUGGAAUUCCUGGUGUAGCGGUGGAAUGCACAGAUAUCAGGAGGAACACCGAUGGCGAAGGCAGGAUACUGGGCCAUUACUGACGCUGAGGAGCGAAAGCAUGGGGAGCGAACAGG
Molecule: ribosomal RNA, 417 nt
Filed under: Fusobacteriota bacterium
Lineage: Bacteria; Fusobacteriati; Fusobacteriota
Description: Fusobacteria bacterium partial 16S ribosomal RNA
Rfam family: Bacterial small subunit ribosomal RNA
Source: RNAcentral